This 497-nucleotide ribosomal RNA is filed under the name uncultured bacterium. RNAcentral's name for it is "partial 16S ribosomal RNA". It matches the Rfam family "Bacterial small subunit ribosomal RNA", at positions 28 to 507 of the family's 1533-position model. The record is from RNAcentral.
GAUGAACGCUGGCGGCGUGCCUAAUACAUGCAAGUCGAGCGAACAGACGAGGAGCUUGCUCCUUCGACGUUAGCGGCGGACGGGUGAGUAACACGUAGGUAACCUACCUAUAAGACUGGGAUAACUUCGGGAAACCGGAGCUAAUACCGGAUAAUAUUUCGAACCGCAUGGUUCGAUAGUGAAAGAUGGCUUUGCUAUCACUUAUAGAUGGACCUGCGCCGUAUUAGCUAGUUGGUAAGGUAACGGCUUACCAAGGCAUCGAUACGUAGCCGACCUGAGAGGGUGAUCGGCCACACUGGAACUGAGACACGGUCCAGACUCCUACGGGAGGCAGCAGUAGGGAAUCUUCCGCAAUGGGCGAAAGCCUGACGGAGCAACGCCGCGUGAGUGAUGAAGGUCUUCGGAUCGUAAAACUCUGUUAUUAGGGAAGAACAAACGUGUAAGUAACUGUGCACGUCUUGACGGUACCUAAUCAGAAAGCCACGGCUAACUACGUG